This 540-nucleotide ribosomal RNA is filed under the name Proteus mirabilis. Its description in RNAcentral is "partial 23S ribosomal RNA". It matches the Rfam family "Bacterial large subunit ribosomal RNA", at positions 1 to 581 of the family's 2925-position model. RNAcentral also lists the same sequence under 1 other name. The record is from RNAcentral. Lineage: Bacteria; Pseudomonadati; Pseudomonadota; Gammaproteobacteria; Enterobacterales; Morganellaceae.
GGUUAAGCGAAUAAGCGUACACGGUGGAUGCCUAGGCAAUCAGAGGCGAUGAAGGACGUGCUAAUCUGCGAUAAGCGUCGGUAAGGUGAUAUGAACCGUUAUACCCGACGAUUUCCGAAUGGGGAAACCCAAUAUCCAAUGGAUAUUAUCAUGACGUGAAUACAUAGCGUCAUGAAGCGAACCGGGAGAACUGAAACAUCUCAGUACCCCGAGGAAAAGAAAUCAACCGAGAUUCCCCUAGUAGCGGCGAGCGAACGGGGAACAGCCCAGAGUCUUAAUCAAUAGCAGCAUCAGGAGAACGGUCUGGAAAGUCCGGCAGUAAAGGGUGAUAGCCCCGUAUCUGAAGAUGCUGUUAUUGUGAACUCGACGAGUAGGGCGGGACACGUGUUAUCCUGUCUGAAUAUGGGGGGACCAUCCUCCAAGGCUAAAUACUCCUGAUUGACCGAUAGUGAACCAGUACCGUGAGGGAAAGGCGAAAAGAACCCCGGCGAGGGGAGUGAAAAAGAACCUGAAACCGUGUACGUACAAGCAGUAGGAGCC